GGCACGCAACUCCUACUUCGUGCGAUAAGUACUAAUACUUACAUGGAUAUUCCUGUUUCGUGUUGUAAAUUCGUUAUAUCGCGUUAUAUUUGCUGGAAUUUAGUGCUAAUAGACGGGUUUUAGUCGCUAAAUAUUUAUCGAGUGUGUAAUCUUCGGAAUUCAAUGUUUUGUGUGUUUAUUACAGUCUUGCGUGUAUCUGGAUCGGUUGCCGUCGGACGCCAGCCGGUCAUGUUGUGUGAUUGUAAAUAUUAUUUUGGACUUGUGUGAACCAUUUGUGUCUUCAGCAGAACACGACUGACGGCUGUUCUACCUGAACUUGCUGUGCCCUAGCAAUCCAAUGAGCACUGCAUUGUGAUCUCAGCGAAAAACAGCGAAGUACGAGAAGACCGCAAUUCAGAGAAGCAAGUUGGGAAUAAUAAGAAUAAGGAAGAAGUGGUAGGAGUACAGAAUAAGAUGUGAAAGCCAUCCCAAGAAUACGCUAGUAAAGUAUCUACCUUAGCGCCUCCUCGUGGCUUAUUUCUUAAAUAUGAAUUAAUAAUUUUACAAAAUGGAUAAAAAAGUAUCAAGUCGUGCUUGUUGCGUUGUCGACUGUAAAAACACUCAAAGGAAAAAUCCAGAAUUGCAAUUUCACCGUUUUCUUGGAUAU
Long non-coding RNA from Dalotia coriaria, 646 nucleotides. RefSeq lists it as uncharacterized. NCBI's taxonomy places the organism in Eukaryota, Metazoa, Arthropoda, Insecta, Coleoptera, Staphylinidae. The transcript has 4 exons. The record is from RefSeq and is a predicted model, not a curated record.